GCCCUGGGGUACAUGUUUAUGUGAGUAAUAAAAUAUUUACUAUAACAUAAAUAUAAAGGGAACUUCCCAGUCUACAUUAUUAUUAUUAUUUUUGCAAUAAAGAUACAAAGAAUGCACCAAAACAUUGUUCCAAAAAAAUAAUAAAAAUAAAAUAACAAAAUUUAAAUUCAAACUGUAACAAACAGAACGGAAGAAACGGAGAAGGGGGAAGCUCCAAACACAUCCAGAAAAUAAAUAGAGAUGGGUCAGAAAUCUGGAAAUCAUAUUAAAAUAUUUUUUUCCCUUCGGAUUAUUCGGUGUACAAAAUCCUUUCGGAUGGGGAUGGAGGGCAACCCGGAAAAACCAAAAAUAAAAACCAAGCACAAAAAUGUUUCUUCUCCCCGCCAAGUGUGUACAUAUCUCACAUAUUUACAUGGUUCCCACCUCACCCCAAACUUGGGGAAUUUCUCUCCUGGCCGCCCCCCUGCAUCCCGCAUCCCAGGUCGGGCUGGAGAGGGAGCGGGUGAAGGCUGCCGGGAAUCAGGGCAGAAGGUUCGCAGGGAACGGCUUAUUUCUACAGCUGGUUAAAAAAUACCUCCAACUUUUUCAAGUUUUCGUUUGUCGGUGGCCAGGAGGGCAGUGCCCCGCGGGGAGCAGGGGUGGGAUGGGGGGGCCCUGCUGGGCCGCGGUCAGUCUGCAGUGGGGCAGAAGCCUCUUCCCGGGGGGUGUGCGUGGGGAGCGCAGACCCCUCCCGCGUGGCCGGGAACCGAAUCGCAGCUCGGAUAAAACGAAACGAAAAAUGAACACUCGAAUUUUUUUUUGUUAGUUUUUUUUUUUUGUUUUUGUUUUGCUUUUUUUGGGGGGGGGGUGGAGCGAUGGUGGUGGUGGUGAUGGUGGUGGUGGGGUGUAAGGGCAGGGGGAGGUAAGGGGGAAAAAUAAAUUAGGCUAGAUUAAAGCUUUGGCUAUUUCCUGCUUUUAUACACAGACGCGGCUCUCGCGGCCUCCCCUCCGGGGCCCCGAUAAAUACAGUAUACAGCGAUUUAAAUUAAGGGCGCGGGCGGAGUUAGAAGGACCCCAGGAGCCGGGGAGAGGCUCCAUGAAUAAAUAAAAACCGUAAAAAAAAACAAAAAGCAAAAACCAAAAAACCAACCAAAAACAACAAAACCAAGCCCGGAGGAAGGGUAAAAAGGGGGAUGGGGCGCAUCCUUGCGGGAGAGAAGAGGCGUGGAGCGGAUUAAGCGACAGUCCCUCACCCUCGACCCGCAGGCUGGGGAGAGGGGGCCCUCCUGUCUCCAUCCUCUCUCCCGGGGGGUCCCUAACCCCGUACCGCGUUACCUGUCGCUGCGGGGAGGCCGCUGCCGGGAUCCGGCCCCGAACAGCCCGGGGGUGGGAGGGGUGCAGGGGGAGGCGGGGGUCUCCGAGGGGAUGGGGGCGGGGAGCAGGCGGCGGGGUGAGUUGGCGCGUCCCGGAUCUUCGCUCCUCUCUCCCGGGGGCUCGGGCGACGCAGCCUGUCGGGCCGUCUUCGCCGCUCGCCGGAGAGGGUCGUCCGGGUGUUUGGUUUAGGUUCGAAAGUUUCUGGGCUUUUUUUUUUUUUUUUUUUUUUUUUUGUAAAAUCCAAAGCAACCGAACAAAAAGAGAGAGAGAGAGAAAAAAAAA
This 1635-nucleotide long non-coding RNA is filed under the name Canis lupus familiaris (dog). RNAcentral's name for it is "lncRNA (ENSCAFG00000057641.1)". The record is from RNAcentral. Lineage: Eukaryota; Metazoa; Chordata; Mammalia; Carnivora; Canidae.